RNAcentral lists this long non-coding RNA (1450 nucleotides) under Macaca fascicularis (crab-eating macaque). Its description in RNAcentral is "lncRNA (ENSMFAG00000058864.1)". Lineage: Eukaryota; Metazoa; Chordata; Mammalia; Primates; Cercopithecidae. The record is from RNAcentral.
UUUUUUUUUUUUUUUUUUGGAGUCUCACUCUGUCACCCAGGCUGGAGUGCAGUGGUGCAACCUCGGCUCACUGCAAGCUCCACCUCCCGGGUUCAAGUGAUUCUCCUGCCUCAGCCUCCCGAGUAGCUGAGACUACAGGUGUGUGCCACCACAUUCAGCUAAUUUUUUGUAUUUUUAGUGGAGACGGGGUUUCACCGUGUUAGCCAGGAUGGUCUCCAUCUUCUAACCUCGUGAUCUGCCUGCCUUGCCCUCCCAAAGUGUUGGGAUUACAGGUGUGAGCUACCACACCCGGCCACAAGUGGUAAUUUUAAACUAUGCUUCAAACCAUUACACAAAGCCAAGUACAUCUACUCAAGGCACUCUCAAAUUUCCAUUUACUCCCAUUUUACUCACCAAAAAAAAAAAAGUUAAAUUGGAACGUAUUUCACAUGACACUUAAAAGAUCAACAAACUGCUCCUGAAAAGGUCUGAGCUCAACAACUCCAUUAAUGAGAAAAAAAACAAACCAACUGGAUAUAGGGAAGAUGCUACACAUAAAACACAAUUGUGAAGAAUAUGCAAGAUAUUGCCAAAAAGCUGCUUAAGCUUUCAUCAUAGAUACUUGUCCUCAACUCUGAGAUAAAGUAUAUACUCAUGUAACUAAACUCGUUUAAAAGGAAACAAAGGGGAAGAAGAAAAAGAACUUCCACUUUAGAAUCCGCAUUUUCAAAGGCCUCCAUUAUUUACACCAUUGCGGGGAAGAGAAUUUUUCUCUGCUAUAUUUGCUUGAAAGAAUUAAAGGUGUAGGGCAAAAAUUCUUGGAAAUUAUGUAGUUUAUGAUCCUCAAAAGUGAGAAAAAUGAAGCCCAGAAGAGAAGGCCUUCCAGGAGAAUUCCAGAGCCGGAGGUAGACCCAGUACAUUGUUUUUGUUUUUGUUUUGAGAGGAAGUCUCACUCUAUGGCCCAGGCUGGAGUGCAGUGGAGCCAUUUCACUCACUGCAACCUCCGCCUCCUGGGUUCAAGCUAUUCUCCUGCCUCAGCCUCCUGAGGAGCUGCGAUUACAGGCGCCCACCACCACGCCCAACUAAUUUUUGUAUUUUUAGUAGAGACAGGGUUUCACCAUGUUGGCCAGGUUGGUCUCGAACUCCUGACCUCAAGUGAUCCGCCUGCCUAGACCUCCCAAAGUCCUCGGAUUACAGGCGUGAGCCACCGCACCCGGCCGACCUGGUAAGUUUUAAUCAAGUACUCUGAACUAUGCAACAAACACUAGGAAGUAAUAGAAAAAAAAUUAAUCUAAAAACCCUCUGGAGAGUCAAAGAAUUGCAGAUUUAAAAGAGCAUGAAUAGUUGGAUUCAUGGUAUUGAAAAAGGACCUCGCAUUUACCAGCAUGCACAAACUGCCUGCGCACCUCUAUCAGAGCAUUUUUCAAGCUGUGCUACAGUUAACUUGUACUACCCAAAGCCAAUCUGUCCC